This is a long non-coding RNA of Tripterygium wilfordii, 582 nucleotides long. RefSeq lists it as uncharacterized. The transcript is spliced from 3 exons. The record is from RefSeq and is a predicted model, not a curated record. Lineage: Eukaryota; Viridiplantae; Streptophyta; Magnoliopsida; Celastrales; Celastraceae.
AAAAAAAAUAAUAGAAGAGAAAAGGGUGUAGUAGCACCCGAUUCUCAUUUUCACAAAAAGACAAAGGGUUGUCUCUUCCUUUUCUCUCCACCACCUCCGGCCAGCUGCUUCCGGCGACGUUCAAGAGAGUCUUCCGGCCGGCAAGGUACUCUCCUCUCUAAGACCACACACAUGCUUCAAUUUCUUACAAGAAAAUAGAAGAUUAAGAUUCAAGUGUGGGUUUUGAAUCAACUCUAGAGAAGAGUUUGAUUUCUUGAAUUGAAGACACUAACAAGCUUCAAGGUGAGUCUAGUUUCGGUACUAGGGUUGCGGAUCAGGAGGAGCAUGCGUGACAUGGAUAGGCCCCUGGAGAGUAAUAGGACUAGAUGGUUCUAGAAUUUGAUUAUGUUACUAGUAUUUUGUCAUACUUGUUUUCCUUGAUUGAGAUAUGUUGUGUGAUACCUCAAUUCAAUGGUUGGAUGGACGGUUGGGAGGGUACUCCAUGUUAUCGGGACUCCCGAACCGGGUUUGUGGACUUCGUGUCUUGACAAUUGAUUAUGCAUGCAGAAUUGCUCUUUACAUUGGUUGUUUGAUUAUACAUGA